This 459-nucleotide ribosomal RNA is filed under the name uncultured bacterium. RNAcentral's name for it is "partial 16S ribosomal RNA". It matches the Rfam family "Bacterial small subunit ribosomal RNA", at positions 338 to 795 of the family's 1533-position model. The record is from RNAcentral.
CCUACGGGGGGCUGCAGUGAGGAAUAUUGGUCAAUGGUCGGGAGACUGUACCAGCCAAGCCGCGUGAGGGAUGAAGGUACAGAGUAUCGUAAACCUCUUUUGUCAGGGAACAAAGGCGGGGCCGCGUCCCCGGAUGAGUGUACCUGAAGAAAAAGCAUCGGCUAACUCCGUGCCAGCAGCCGCGGUAAUACGGGGGAUGCGAGCGUUAUCCGGAUUUAUUGGGGUAAGAGGGUGAGCAGGCGGUCUGUUAAGUCAGCGGUAAAAGCCCGGGGCUCAAACCCGGCCCGCCGUUGAAACUGGCAGUCUCGAGUUGGAGAGAAGUAUGCGGAAUGCGCGGUGUAGCGGUGAAAUGCAUAGAUAUCGCGCAGAACUCCGAUUGCGAAGGCAGCAUGCCGGCUCCACACUGACGCUGAGGCACGAAAGCGUGGGUAUCGAACAGGAUUAGAUACCCCAGUAGUC